This 499-nucleotide ribosomal RNA is filed under the name uncultured bacterium. Its description in RNAcentral is "partial 16S ribosomal RNA". It matches the Rfam family "Bacterial small subunit ribosomal RNA", at positions 30 to 523 of the family's 1533-position model. The record is from RNAcentral.
AUUGAACGCUGGCGGCAUGCCUUACACAUGCAAGUCGAACGGCAGCACGGGAGCAAUCCUGUGGCGAGUGGCGAACGGGUGAGUAAUGUAUCGGAACGUGCCCAGUCGUGGGGGAUAACGUAGCGAAAGCUACGCUAAUACCGCAUACGAUCUAUGGAUGAAAGCGGGGGAUCGCAAGACCUCGCGCGAUUGGAGCGGCCGAUAUCAGAUUAGGUAGUUGGUGGGGUAAAGGCUCACCAAGCCGACGAUCUGUAGCUGGUCUGAGAGGACGACCAGCGACACUGGGACUGAGACACGGCCCAGACUCCUACGGGAGGCAGCAGUGGGUAAUUUUGGCCGAUGGGCGCAAGCCUGAUCCAGCAAUGCCGCGUGCAGGAUGAAGGCCUUCGGGUUGUAAACUGCUUUUGUACGGAACGAAACGGCGAGCUCUAAUACCCUGGAGUCAUGACGGUACCGUAAGAAUAAGCACCGGCUAACUACGUGCCAGCAGCCGCCGUAA